AUGAAGCUCGUGAGAUUUUUGAUGAAAUUGAGUCAUGAAACUGUAACCAUUGCAUUGAAGAACAGAACACAGGUCCAUGGAACAGUCACAGGUGUGGAUGUCAGCAUGAAUACACAUCUUAAAGCUGUGAAAAUGACCCCGAAGAACAGAGAACCUGUACAGCUGGAAACGCUGAGUAUUCGAGGAAAUAACAUUCGGUAUUUUAUUCUACUAGACAGUUUACCUCUGGAUACACUACUUGUGGAUGUUGAACCUAAGGUGAAAUCUAAGAAAAGGGAAGCUGUUGCAGGAAGAGGCAGAGGCAGAGGAAGAGGAAGAGGACGUGGCCGUGGCAGAGGAAGAGGGGGUCCUAGGCGAUAA
This 360-nucleotide long non-coding RNA is filed under the name Homo sapiens (human). RNAcentral describes it as "non-protein coding lnc-KLF18-9:1". The record is from RNAcentral. Lineage: Eukaryota; Metazoa; Chordata; Mammalia; Primates; Hominidae.